This is a long non-coding RNA of Esox lucius (northern pike), 1071 nucleotides long. The record is from Ensembl. Lineage: Eukaryota; Metazoa; Chordata; Actinopteri; Esociformes; Esocidae.
CAGGGAAAGUAGAAUGAAAUAAUGGGAUUGCUUUUAACCAAAGAUAUUGUAGUUUCAUGGAUGCAGAAGAUGGACUGGGUACUGAAUAUGUCCCUUGAAUUUAUAUAAUGAAUGGGAAACCCGUCUCAAAAAUAAGGGCUUUUGUUUGGCUCCUAAUUGUGUGUGAAUUGAUUGUUUUAGACCAAGCUGUUGAAGCAACAUCAGUCAUGGGCUGAGGCUUCAGGGUGUGUUCAGAAUGGCCUUAGUGUGCAACACAUUUUAACCUGGGAUGACGAGGGAGAUCUGGGACGGAGAUAUCAAAUAGCAUCGUAAAAUGGUUUUAGAAAACUACAGCAUCCCCUAGCAAACAAAGUAAACAUGUUAAAUGUUUUCAAAGGUCCUGGGUAUUGAUCAAAACAACAAACCCAUUACGUAUUAUAUUGCAUUUUAUUGCCUUUUGUAUUGCCUUUUAUUGUCAACUGGAUUUACAGUGAUACAAUUAUACUAUGUUAGUAUUUUGUUUAUUACGCUUCUGUUUUUGAUUCUCCAAAAUAUAGAAACUUUAUAUUGCUUUAUGUUAUGGCAGAAAGUAUUUCUUCCCUGAGUUUGGUUCUAAGAGAUGAGAGGUCUGAUCUGAAGUCAGUGGAAUCUGAGUGCUUCCUCUGGUUUGGUACACCUGAGGAGUCAGAGCAACUGACCUAGGUUCAGCCAUGGUGCAGUCAGAUAGUUUGUCCCUGUGAACUGAUUAAUACAGCCUAGUGAACCUCAGAGGUCAUGGCCUUGAUUUUAAACCAGACCCCUUUCAAAGAAAGAGAUGCCAAUUGACACAAUCCAAAGGGAAGAUCCUUGGCUUUUCAUUAUGAGACAUCUUUCUCUAAAAUACUGACACAUCAGCAACACAGGGAUAAACUCCUGGUUUGACCGUAGAAGUCGUAGUCUGAGUCCAUCACUACCAAAAAGGGGAUGUCCUAAACUAAGGAAUGACAUCAGGAGAAAACAAUGGAAAGAAUCUGAUUAAUCUCUCAAUCUGCCAAACUGGAAAUAACUGAUGCAUAUCCGUUAGUUAGUAGCAGAAACUCUGAUCAUAGGAAA